This 2337-nucleotide long non-coding RNA is filed under the name Podarcis lilfordi (Lilford's wall lizard). Lineage: Eukaryota; Metazoa; Chordata; Lepidosauria; Squamata; Lacertidae. The record is from RNAcentral.
CAAGAGCUUAUGCUAAGAAGUUGUCAUUUGGAGCACAGAGAUAAAGAGUUGUGUGAAGGGGAAAAAACCACUCUGCCAAAGCAAGAAAACAUAAGACACUCUCUUUUGUACCUUGGAAGUUAUGGUGUGCAGGAACCAAACCACAUUAGCUUCCAUUGCUGAUCUUUUGCACUUGCAGAUUCAAGACACGGGCUUAUUUUACAGUUCCGGAAACCAUCCAAUGAAAUCCAUAUGACCUCGGCCAGAUCAUUCCAGCUCCAAGCAGUAGGGUAACUGAGAAAGGGCACUGCUGUCCACAUUUUAGCCAGCAUGUACUGAAGAUCAGGUCUUAAUCUGAGCCAAGGCUCGGGUCCAGAUCUUCUGUUCUCAAUACGCAGGAUUGCACAAAGAUUUAUUUUUGAGGAGUAAUAUUCUGCGUAACUGGGAAAGGGCUACAGUAUCAUCGGGCAUAACUGUUAAAGCAGAUUAAAACCUUGACUUCUCAUUUUACUGGCUUCAUCAGGGAAGGGGCUGGUACUUUCAAAUUGCUUUCCAUGCAUGAUAAAUUGCUCCUAAAGCAGCAACACGAUCUAAAGUUGCCAUCUCCAGCUAUUGACUUGUAUGCAUUCCCGAUUUCCAACUUGCAUUAGCUUUGACCCAGCGUGGCCAAUGGACAGGGAAGAUGGAAAUUGUAGUUCAAUUUCAGGCUGGAGAAGACUGAUAUACCAUAGCAAACUUCAGUUCGUGAAUCCCCUCUUUAAAUAAGGGCUUCGGGCAAUUUGGGUAUAAGGCAAGGAUGCAAACAUCUCGAGAUUGGGAUGUUAUUGAAAUGCUAUGCCCUCAGUUCUCCACAAUCGAAGGUCAGAGAGGGAGGAUUAAAAAGAAUGUUAUUUGGCUUAGGCGAAUUGCAUAGAAGAAAUGGAUGUUUGUCAAUGAAUUGAGGCUUUGCGUAUCAAGCAAUUCAGCUUCCUAACCAUCAUUUAAGGUAGGUCAGUAAUGUGAUUUCCCUCUUACAGAUGGGGAACCGAACUUGAUACUGUGUCAUGCUCAAGACCACACGAUGCACACUCAAAAUGUGCUUUGACCCCAAGGUCCUUCAACCCUAUGGUUGUAGCUGCUUGCCAACUGCAAUAUAUCACACCAGACAUUGCCUAUGGAGUUCUUUCUGACGAAGAAAGCAAGCAAGCCACAUUUUAAAAGCCACCAAAUCUGUAUGCGGUACUGAUGAGAGUCAUAAACAAGCAAUCUACUCCGCCAAAAGGAAAGUGAGUGAUGCCCAGGCUUUAGAAGAACAGAGAACACACGUGGGCGGAAGCAGCGGGAACUCUCUGGUGCUUUAUGGGAGAUGUUAGAGAUCUCAAUCUGCUUAAUGAAAAUGCAGGUUGAAAAUAAAUCACAGGAGGACAUCUUGCAAGGAAAUAUCACUAGUCGUAAAAACUCAUUGUGGAGUUCCAAGUAAACCAGCGACUGCAAGCCAAAACAUUAGAACACAUUUGAAAUAUAUGCACUUUUGGAAGACGUGUACGCUAAACAUCAUUGGUGUUUGCUGCCCUAGGGUCAUUGCUGCUCCAUUCAUAGCUUCCUGAAGUCCGUGUGAGUCUCCUUUGGCAAUAACCUGGAUAGGUAGCCUAUCUUUUGGCAACCUUGAGCCAGUCUCUUAACCUUCAGCCUAACCUAACUUGGACUGGGAGAACUCGAUCAGAGGAGCUCAGGCACUGGUGACUUAAAAGAUUGGAUUACUGCAAUGCACCUAUGUGGGGUUUUCCUUGCAUUGGCCCAGAAACUGGCUAGUACAGAACGCUAGAGCACAGCUGCUGGCAAGAGUGAGACCCUGUCAGCAUAGAACAUCCCUGCUCGGAGAUCUGCCCUGGUUGCUGAUCUGUUACCAGGCCAAAAACAAGGUGUUACUACUGGUAUACAGAGCCCUUAACGACUUGGUACCAGUUUACCUGCAGGGUUGCCUUCGUAUAUGCCCACUUUGCUCUGUGGAACUGUCGCUAUUACAGGUGCCACCUAGCACGCAUUCUGCCGUUGUCAAGAAACUGAUAAUUUAAUGUGGCAAUUAUGCUUUGGAACUUCCUUCCCAUCAACAUCAGACGGGCACCUUCAAUGGAUUAUUUUUGGAACCCGCUUAAAACAUUUGUGUUGAAGCAAGUCUAUCCAGACACGUAGAUGCUGGUGUGUUUUAAUCUUUUCUUAACUUUAAUUAUCUUUAAAUGUUUUGAUUAACUGCUUUUAUUGGUAAUUUUAAUAUCUAUUUGUGAGCUGCGUACAAGCGGCGUAGAGCAACAGACAAAAUUUGUUAAAUAAAAUAUAAACCUGAUAAGCCUGCUUAGUGUCUAAAAAUGGGAUAAGGGG